GUCAUUUGCAACUCCCUUUUUACAACUCACACAUUGUGUGAAUGCUACGAGAAGUCAUCGGUCAACGCGGGUCAAGAAUUUAAUGACUUAAUUGCACCGAUUUUGGGCCCUGAACGCUGCAAUUUUUGGGGAAAAAAAUUAAAAAACCUACUCGCAGCGAACCAUGGGAGUGCACGCUAAGAAAAGGUUGCUUAAUUGCAGCUUCCUACGGAUCUCCGCGCUGCGUGAACCUUUUUCCAGAUCUAAAAACAUUGUGAAGUCUCCUCUCUCCCUAGAACUCUCCGUCCAUUUCAAACCCUAGAAUUAAUUAUCUCUCUGUUUCAUCCAAUUCGUUCAAUGGCCAAUUCGUUCAAUGGGUUUAUGAAAGAGCUUCGAUAUGGUUCCUUCCAGCUCUCAUUACAAUCUAGACGAGUGGAUCGACUGCUGAUGUAGCGCAAGCCUCUCCGGCCCUCCUGCAAUAGAGAGAUAAAGAGAUGGCGGAUGAGAGAGAGGACGUCGACCUUGUACUGCGCUGUUCUACCUUCACUUCGUCAAUUGUGCUUUUAGUGGGGUGCACGAGAAGGUCCCCUCUGUGAUGAACCAAUCAGAAAUGUGAAAUUCAAGAUAGUUGAUGCUAGGAUUUCUCCUGAGCCACUACACCGGGGUACUGGACAAAUAAUCCCGACAGUCCGUCGUGUGGCUUAUUGAGCUUUCCUUAUGGAAACCCCUCGUCUUAUGGAGCCAGUUUAUUAUGUGGAGAUACAAACACCUAUAGAUUGUGUUUCUGCGAUGUACACAGUUCUAUCUCGUAGGCGUGGCCAUGUGACUGAUGAUGUUCCACAACUAGGGACCCCAGCGUAUCUUGUGAAGUUUCAGGUCAUUGUAAUGAAUGCAAACAUGGGAUGCAGCUCCUGCCGUGACAAAGUCUUCAGAGUUUUGUCAAAAAUUACUGUAUGUUGCAGCUGAUGACGCUGGACCUCUGAUGUGAACAAUGCAGGUUGUAUUGCUUCUUGUGUUAUCUGGUGCGUUUCUUAGAGCCAAUCAAAUUUGUUUCUCCUGCGAUGCCACCCGAAGAAGCCCUGGAACUGUGGCUGUUCUGUGUGGACAUGCAAUUGCUCAGAGUUCUUCAGCAAUCCUCGGGCAUAGUUAUUUGAGUGGGCUCGGUACGAGGAGGAUGACACUCAUUCAAAGAGAGGUGUUCUCCUGCUAUAUAGAGCAAGGUGGGCAACGGAUAGGAGAAUGAGUUUGUUGUCUAGUAAUGUUAUGUUUUAUGUUUUUGUUAUGUGUUGGAUAUGAAGGAAAUAAUGUCCUUGGUCCAAGUAUGCAUUCUAUGUUAAGUCUAAUAAAUGCGGUUCAGUAUUAAUUAACAAGUUAAUAAUUCAGUGAGAUCAAGUGAGCUGAAUGCCUAGCUAGAGGCCGCUUCAGUUCAAGUGG
This is a long non-coding RNA of Spinacia oleracea (spinach), 1413 nucleotides long. RefSeq lists it as uncharacterized. The transcript is spliced from 8 exons. The record is from RefSeq and is a predicted model, not a curated record. NCBI's taxonomy places the organism in Eukaryota, Viridiplantae, Streptophyta, Magnoliopsida, Caryophyllales, Amaranthaceae.